AGAAUCAACGCUGGCGGCGUGCCUCAGACAUGCAAGUCGAACGAGAAGUCCCCUUCGGGGGAUGGAUAGUGGCGCACGGGUGAGUAACACGUGGGUAAUUUACCUUUGGGUGGGAACAACAGCCGGAAACGGCUGCUAAUACCGCAUAAUGCAGCGGCUCCUCAUGGAGACAGUUGUUAAAGCGGGGGAUCGCAAGACCUCGCGCCUGAAGAGAAGCCCCGCGGCAGAUAGCUAGUUGGUAAGGUAAUGGCUUACCAAGGCGACGAUCUGUAACCGGCCUGAGAGGGCGGUCGGUCACACUGACACUGACAUACGGGUCAGACUCCUA
RNAcentral lists this ribosomal RNA (328 nucleotides) under uncultured bacterium. RNAcentral describes it as "bacterial SSU rRNA". It matches the Rfam family "Bacterial small subunit ribosomal RNA", at positions 26 to 341 of the family's 1533-position model. The record is from RNAcentral.